GAUGAACGCUGGCGGUAUGCUUAACACAUGCAAGUCGUACGAGAGUUUUUAACUCUAGUGGCGGACGGGUGAGUAACACGUGAGAAUUUACCGUUAGGAGGGGGAUAACAAUUGGAAACGAUUGCUAAUACCCCAUAUGCUUUCGAGUGAAAUGGAUUUUUCUGCCUAAAGAAAAGCUCGCGGCUGAUUAGCUUGUUGGUAAGGUAAUGGCUUACCAAGGCGACGAUCAGUAUCUGGUUUGAGAGGACGAUCAGACACACUGGAACUGAGACACGGUCCAGACUCCUACGGGAGGCAGCAGUGGGGAAUUUUCCGCAAUGGGCGAAAGCCUGACGGAGCAAUACCGCGUGAGGGAAGACGGCCUAUGGGUUGUAAACCUCUUUUUUCAGGGAGGAACAAAAUGACGUGUACCUGAAGAAUAAGCAUCGGCUAACUCCGUGCCAGCAGCCGCGGUAAGACGGAGGAUGCAAGUGUUAUCCGGAAUUACUGGGCGUAAAGCGUCUGUAGGUGGUUUGGUAAGUCAACUGUUAAAUCUUGAGGCUCAACUUCAAAACAGCAGUCGAAACUAUCAGAC
This 574-nucleotide ribosomal RNA is filed under the name uncultured bacterium. RNAcentral's name for it is "bacterial SSU rRNA". It matches the Rfam family "Bacterial small subunit ribosomal RNA", at positions 28 to 641 of the family's 1533-position model. The record is from RNAcentral.